Molecule: long non-coding RNA, 1312 nt
Filed under: Gallus gallus (chicken)
Lineage: Eukaryota; Metazoa; Chordata; Aves; Galliformes; Phasianidae
Description: long non-coding RNA NONGGAT004134
Source: RNAcentral
CUCCCCCUGUAAUUUUGCCUCGGACCAUCAGAACAGCGUGCAGCAGGACACUGCUGGAUCUUGGUGGAAGGCCUGUCCUAAUUUAUCAGAGGGGGAAUGCUUUAAUUGGCCUGCCUCCUCCUCCCUCAUUUCCCUGAGUUGAAGCUGCAGGCCCUUGCUCAGUCACCACAGUCACCCGCCUCUUCCACUCUAUGAAUUAGCUGUGGUGGAAAUGUUGUACGACCCCAUGUUUGUUCCUAACAAUCCAUGCGAAGACUGUGAUCCUGAAAGAGUUCAGAGGACAUCAAAUCUGUGGCAGAAACUCAUAAGAACAGCACCUGAAAAGUACACCAGUGCACUAGCAGCAACAUAUGAAAGAUACGAGGAGCAACAUAGAAGAUCCCUAUUUUUUGAACUCAUUAUUACGCUUCAAAACUUUGAACAACAGUUACCCCCGUCUCAUGCUUAAAUUUUAGCCAUCUCCUUAUUCACCUGCUCAAGCAAAUAAUUGUAGGAAAUCUGUGUCUCAUGCUGUUACAUGAGCAUGGAGAAGACAUGAAGAAGUGGCAUAAAAAACCCAAUCCUGUACUACAAGCAUGGAUGAGAGAAUUACAAAACAGAACAACCACCAAGGCAAUUGCUCCAGUUACUGCGGGUCCUGAUCACGACUCACAAGAGAACAACAACUCAUGUAACAAAGAGAGGGGCUCUGCCAUCAGAUUGGGGGGGAGGAAGGGAUAGUAGAGUGUAUUGGCCUGUGUAAAUUCAAUGGCCUGGCACAUCAGAACCACAGAAAUAUAAGGCAUUGGUGGACAGUGGUGCGCAGUGCGCUCUAAUGCCCUCAAGUCACGAAGGCACAGAACGGAUUUGUAUUUCUGGAGUGACUGGGGGCUCUAAAGAAUUGACUGUAUUGGAGACUGAAAUACGCCUCACUGGUAAAGAUGGGCAAAAGCAUCCCAACACCAUUUCAUAGUGGGAGAAGCAUAGAGGAAGCAUUUAUACCAUAUAGAAGUAAAUUGCUAUUUGCAUGUCAGAAAAUGGCUGUAGGAAACAGGAAAACAUAAAUUAUUCAGAACAGCGAAUAAACAAGAAGGGAAUUUUCCCAAUUUUUGAAAAGAAAUAGGUUACCUGCAAGCAAUGAGUCCACUAUUUUUCACUCAUAAAGCAAUUGCUAUAUCUUCCACUAUAUGAAGUGUGCGUACCAAAUCUGAUACACUAGGUUGAUUACUGCAAGACUGAGCAAAAUAGGGAGCUUUUACAAAGGGCCUUGACUUCUAACAAAUGCCAAUUCAACCUAUAGAGGAUAUUCAACUUUGCCUUUGAAAAAUUACCA